AGGGUUUGAUCAUGGCUCAGAAUGUACGCUGGCGGCACGCCUAAUACAUGCAAGUCGAACGAAGUAGCAAUACUUAGUGGCAGACGGGUGAGUAACAUGUGGGUAUCUUCCCUUUGGUGAGGAAUAACACGAGGAAACUUGUGCUAAUACCUCAUAAGUCUUUACGGAGAAAGCUUUAUGCGCCAUUGGAUGAGCCUGCACUUGAUUAGUUUGUUGGUGGGGUAAUGGCCUACCAAGACAAUGAUCAAUAGCUGAUUUGAGAGGAUGAUCAGCCACAUUGGGACUGAGACACGGCCCAAACUCCUACGGGAGGCAGCAGUAGGGAAUCUUGCACAAUGGAGGAAACUCUGAUGCAGCGAUGCCGCGUGAGUGAAGAAGGCCUUUGGGUUGUAAAGCUCUUUCGUCGGGGAAGAAAAUGACUGUACCCGAAUAAGAAGGUCCGGCUAACUUCGUGCCAGCAGCCGCGGUAA
This 470-nucleotide ribosomal RNA is filed under the name uncultured bacterium. RNAcentral's name for it is "bacterial SSU rRNA". It matches the Rfam family "Bacterial small subunit ribosomal RNA", at positions 8 to 523 of the family's 1533-position model. The record is from RNAcentral.